Non-coding RNA from Cyanistes caeruleus (blue tit), 2269 nucleotides. The record is from RefSeq and is a predicted model, not a curated record. Lineage: Eukaryota; Metazoa; Chordata; Aves; Passeriformes; Paridae.
AAAGAGGAAAUUCUCUCUUUAGAAAACAUGUUUGGAGAUACCGUGUCAAUAUUAGUUCAGGGUCUUUGAAAAAAUUAUGCCUUAUAGUCUAUUUUAUGGCAUAAGAGAUGACCUUUUAGGGCUUUUAACCAAAAGGUGCAAUAAUCUCAUGAUAGUGUAUUUAGUGGACCUUCAAAGAAUUUCUUCAAAACUUUAACUAUGAACAUUGUUAGGACAGAACGAAGACAGUGCUGUGCUUUUGUUAUUGUCUGGUUCCAGGGCAAAAGCACUGUGUCUGAUGAGAGAUGCUAUCCUGAGAUGGGACAUGUACCUUCAGCUGCUUCUCCAGCCUUUUGUGCUUGUCUUUGAGACAUCAAAAAAUGCAGCAAUAAUACCUCUUCUAGAGUUAACCAGGACUAUGGUUAAGCAGAUCCUUGCUACAUGCAGAAGAGAAGGUUCUCUUGCAAGUCUGUGGAUGAGUUAUCCACCAGCAAUUCCAGGUUCAAAGGAGACAGUGAGUUGGCAUGGAGGAGAAACAACUUACAGUUCUGUCUGCUGGUCAUGAACACUUGGAAUCCUCUGGGCUUCAUCACAAUUUUGGUCUCUUGAAAAAAAAAUACUUUUUCCAUUCACUUUUCUGUGACUGUUAUUUUUCUUUCCUCAUCACUGAGAAAACAAAAGUCUCACCCUAGGGCCUGACAGCUCUUGUGUAGCCACUGCCUGUGGCAUUCUGUGUUUCCCAGCUUAUUGUGAUUAUUUAGCAAAGUCAUAAGAAUCAGGCCAGAGUUCAAGUUAGACUAAUGCAUCCUCCUACUGGAGGAGAGAAAGCUCAAUGCCUCAAGAUGAGAGAUUCCACUGUCUCAUAACUGCUACCUCUGAUCGUUCUCUCUCAAGUCAAGUCAGCCCUUGCCAGCUCAACAGCAAGAACAUGAACCUGAGCUCUACCUGGGGAUUAGAGAAAACUAGGACAAUUGAAGGUUUUUCCUUCAUAGCUGUGCUGUGGUGGAAUGGCUCUUUCUCCCUAGGAACUUCAGCCAGCCAGGUAGCAUUGCCACUAGGGCUGAGCAAAACAGCUUUACUGCAGGUAGCAGAGAAGGGCUGCCCACCUCUACGACCAGGAAGCAUUUGAUUCAUCUGCUGAGCAGCACCUGGGUCAACAAUAUAAUUAUUGUGAUGAGACAUCCUCAUUCAGCUGAAGACAAUCAUGGAAACCCUGUGGGAAACUAACCCUUUUGAAGAGAAUAAAUCAGCUCUUUUUUUUGCAACUGAUCUUUUGUUCAGAUUGUUCGUGGUGUUGGGGAAUAAGCUGGUCACCAGCGAGCACCAAGCGGUGGGACAGAAGGACAGUGUAACUCCAACACUUUGUUGGAGUAGAGAUGGAGGAGGCAAGGAGAGGCCUGCAGGCAGGUUUAGAGCCUGAAGCUCAUUUAACAUAGUUUUACAGAACUGGUAGCUGAGAAGAAAGUGGGGGGAAGCAGAUCUCCCACAGGAAAUCCCACUGUUGCAGGCAGUGGCUUUCCUUAUGCCACAAAUCUCUAGGCUUUUUGCAACCUCUGAUGACAGGAUUUGUGGGGUGAAAGUGCAAUAGCAGCAUGGCCUCCUGGUCAACAGUACAUACACAGCAGUCAGGUGGAUGGGUAUUUCUUCCAUGUCUCCAAACCCAGUGUCCAAAGGAUAGGCAAACGAGGUGACCCUCUCUUUCUUCUCAGGCUGUUCCUCCAAAUGAAGAGUGUCAUAAGGCCCAGGGGCAUUUAUCCACAUUUCUAUCCUUGUUGCACAUAUUGUGUCUCAUUGCAUUCACCUAGGUUUCAAAUUCCUUCCCUGUCUUCUAACAAUGUAUCUAGUCUUUAUGUUCUUCUGUGUCCCAGGAUGUUUCACCACUGGAAUUAAGGACCUUAUCCAUGUUUAAAGUCAAAAGCCUGGAUCUGGUGAAUUGUAGAGGACUGUGGCUUUUUUACUUGUGGGUGAGCCCCAUUUCUGCUUUGAGGACUCCUUUCUGGAGUACCUGUAGCCUCUUUUGACUGGGGAGGUUUGGUUAAAAUUUAGGGGAAUGAGUCCAAACAGUGUUUGAGAAGAGUACCAAUAGCUGAGACAGAGGACAAAUAAAUGUACCCAAGUAUGGGUGAGUAAGCUUGGCAUUUGGGCUUUUUUUGUUUUGCCAGGCUUGUUAGUAGGGGUCUUGGUUGUGACUUCAGCAUACAUUCAAAUAACUAAGUACAAUUCAAUUUUUUAUAUAAUCACAUCAUAUUUUAGUUUGUUGCAAUUAAUCUUACUGGGAUUUGAGCAACAA